AUGAAAACGGUUUGCUAUUCACUUGACCCAGAAAACUCCACAAAAUCAUGCCAACCAACAGGUUCAAAUCUUUGUGUUCAUUUUAAGAACACUCGUGAGUCUGCCCAGGCCAUCAAGGGUAUGCACAUACAAAAAGCCACUAAAUAUGUCACUUUAUAGAAACAGUGUUCACUAUUCUAAUGUUACAAGGGUGGAGUUGAUAAGUGUGUCCAGGACAAACAGUGGGGUUGGACACAGGGUCAGUGGUCCAAAAAGAGUGCUGAAUUUUUGCUGCAUGUGCUUAAAAAUGCAGAAUUAUGCUGAGUGAACUUAAGGUUGUAGACAGAGAUUCUCUGGUCAUCGAGCAUAUCCAGGUGAACAAAGCACUCAGGAUGCGCCGCUGGACUUACAGAGCUCAUGGUCUGAUUAAAUCCAUACCUUAACUCCCCUGCCACACUGAGAUAAUCCUUACACAAAAGAAACAGAUUGUUCCUAAACCGGAAGAGGUGGAUCCACCGGAGAAAAAGAGAUCCCAGAAGAAACUGAAGAAACAAAAACUUAUGGUGUGAGAAUAA
Molecule: long non-coding RNA, 554 nt
Filed under: Homo sapiens (human)
Lineage: Eukaryota; Metazoa; Chordata; Mammalia; Primates; Hominidae
Description: non-protein coding lnc-C6orf58-4:1
Source: RNAcentral